RNAcentral lists this ribosomal RNA (421 nucleotides) under uncultured bacterium. RNAcentral describes it as "partial 16S ribosomal RNA". It matches the Rfam family "Bacterial small subunit ribosomal RNA", at positions 361 to 774 of the family's 1533-position model. The record is from RNAcentral.
AUAUUGGACAAUGGGCGAAAGCCUGAUCCAGCCAUGCCGCGUGUGUGAAGAAGGACUUCGGAUUGUAAAGCACUUUAAGUUGGGAGGACGGGCAGUAAGUUAAUACCUUGCUGUUUUGACGUUACGGACAGAAUAAGCACCGGCUACAUUCGUGCCGGCAGCCGCGGCACUAAGGAGGGUGCAAGCGUUAAUCGGAAUUACUGGGCGCAAAGCGCGCGUAGGUGGUUUGUUAAAUUGGAAGUGAAAGCCCCGGGCUCAACCUGGGAACUGCAUUGAAAACUGGCAAGCUAGAGUAUGGCAGAGGGUGGUGGAAUGUCCUGUGUAGCGGUGAAAUGCGUAGAUAUAGGAAGGAACACCAGUGGCGAAGGCGACCACCUGGGCUAAUACUGACACUGAGGUGCGAAAGCGUGGGGAGCAAACA